AGUGAACGCUGGCGGUAGGCCUAACACAUGCAAGUCGAACGGCAGCACAGUAAGAGCUUGCUCUUACGGGUGGCGAGUGGCGGACGGGUGAGGAAUACAUCGGAAUCUACUUUUUCGUGGGGGAUAACGUAGGGAAACUUACGCUAAUACCGCAUACGACCUACGGGUGAAAGCAGGGGAUCUUCGGACCUUUCGCGAUUGAAUGAGCCGAUGUCGGAUUAGCUAGUUGGCGGGGUAAAGGCCCACCAUGGCGACGAUCCGUAGCUGGUCUGAGAGGAGGAUCGGCCGCACUGGAACUGAGACACGGUCCAGACUCCUAAGGGAGGCAGCAGUGGGGAAUAUUGGACAAUGGUCGCAAGCCUGAUCCAGCGAUACCGCGUGGGUGAAGAAGGCCUUCGGGUUGUAAAGCCCUUUUGUUGGGAAAGAAAAGCAGCAGGUUAAUACCCCGCUGUUCUGACGGUACCCAAAGAAUAAGCACCGGCUAACUUCGUG
Molecule: ribosomal RNA, 492 nt
Filed under: uncultured bacterium
Lineage: Bacteria
Description: partial 16S ribosomal RNA
Rfam family: Bacterial small subunit ribosomal RNA
Source: RNAcentral